UUAUCGGAGAGUUUGAUCCUGGCUCAGGACGAACGCUGGCGGCGUGCCUAAUACAUGCAAGUCGAGCGGACAGAUGGGAGCUUGCUCCCUGAUGUUAGCGGCGGACGGGUGAGUAACAC
This 119-nucleotide ribosomal RNA is filed under the name Bacillus amyloliquefaciens. RNAcentral describes it as "partial 16S ribosomal RNA". It matches the Rfam family "Bacterial small subunit ribosomal RNA", at positions 1 to 116 of the family's 1533-position model. RNAcentral also lists the same sequence under 6 other names. Lineage: Bacteria; Bacillati; Bacillota; Bacilli; Caryophanales; Bacillaceae. The record is from RNAcentral.